Molecule: non-coding RNA, 3988 nt
Organism: Aegilops tauschii subsp. strangulata
Lineage: Eukaryota; Viridiplantae; Streptophyta; Magnoliopsida; Poales; Poaceae
Source: RefSeq, a predicted model, not a curated record
UUACAAUCACGCCGCCCAUCUUGAGAGAUGGGGGCCACAGGCGACGAGGCCGACGUGCCGUCGUCUCUUCUUGUGGCCUGCCCGGAUCCCCGCCGUCCACUUCACCGGCGUCGUCGCCAUCGUCCUCGCGUGCACACGGCAGGAGGAGCGCGGGAGACGUGGAGCCGCUGCUGUGAACGCCGCCGUGGUCCUCGCGUGCACACGGCAGGAGGAGCACGGGAGACGUGGAGCCACCGCUGGGGCCGCUGCCGUCGUCCUCGCCUGCACAUGGCAGGAGGAGCGCGUGAGACGUGAGCCGCUGCUGGGAAUGUCGGGCGAUUAUCUGCAGAUCGGUAAGCCCUACCGGCCUCAUGUACCUAGCACGAGAUGAAAGAGGGAUUUAGAGAAGGGAGGAAGCAGGAGGAGAAGAGGAAGCCAACCAGGUCCGGUUUCGAUCUGGUGGACAGGGUCAGUUGCUCCUCUGGUGGAUAGGGUCAAUUGCUCCGAUUUGGACUAGCAGCAGCAGCUGCUGCUGCAGGUGGACGAGGCAUGAGCCCUCAUGGCUGCUCCCUCCUCCUACCCCUGAUGUGGUUAACCACAUCUGCUAGGAUGGCUUUAUUUUUCUUUUCUGGUGGGGAAUGCAAGGAUCGAGUGGUCAUCUCUCUCAUAACUCAUAAGCACAAUAUGUCACUGGAAACGUCACGGUUAUUUCUAAUGCACCAUUUUCCUGGCUUUCAUGGGGUUUGAUGUAAAUCGGUUAAUGGCUAUGUGACAAUAUCUGUCUGCCGACUGUGUUAUUUGCUCGGGAAAGCUUCUUACAUUAUAAACUAUGCAAACUGAUGUUAUGCCUCCUGAAGCACCUUACAUUGUUAAAUUUACAUAAGAGAUUCUGGUUAGGUAACAUGGACAUACUAAUUGGAUUUUCCAAGCAUCAUUUGCAUUGUUGUUUCGUUAUUUUGAAUGGCAGACAUUUGCUUAAAUUUAUGAUGUUACCUCUAAUCCUUAUUGUUAUAGUUAAUAUGUUUCUAUUUUUGGACUGAUUGAUCUCGAUUGAGGAAACACAAGGUAAAGAGCAGCUAAGUCCUAAAUGGUAGAUAGGGCAUGUGAUUUAUCUCUGUUAGUUUUUCAAUCAACAACUUAAACCAACAUUCGAUAUUAGUCAAUCUGAGUGCAGGCUGAAUGUGGAAGUUGAUGAACAUGGUCAUUCUUGCUGUUCAGAGUACAUAAGCGAUCACCAUUGAGGUCAACCUGUAAUCAUGUCUGUAAUGCAAGUGCUUGCGUAAUUAGACAGUACACAUGGGAAAAUAAUUGACCCAUCCAAUGUAUUCCAUUUAUAUUAGAUAGUAGAUAUGAAUAUUGCUUCUUUAUAGUCAAGUGUCAGUAUUUGAUUAUCCGGGUAUUAAUAGGAAUUCUAGCCACAAGAUUUUCUUCACCAAGAUGUAUAUAGACACAACUUUCUAGAAAUCUAAAAUAAGUAGUAUGUUCAGGAAGCUAGCUUACAAGAAUUUCGUUUUUGGUUUUAUGCCAAUCUCGGUUGGUGAAUUAUUUUAAGGCGCGUUCUUAUAAUUUUUACGGUCUUUGUAAGCUUGGAUGGUCUGUUAAUUUACUUCCUUCAUCCUCCCUCCUGGUGCUGACACUUAAUUUACUUCCUUCAAUGGUGAGGUUGUACACGGCGGAAGGGGAACGGGCGGGGUACAUGACCAAGUGGGAGGAGCUCCAUCCAGUUUCGCAGCACCUUCUCCUGCAAAUCGAGGAAAAGAUAAGGAAUGAGAGGCAUGCGUGUGAGCAGGUGGAACAAUGCAAGCGCCUCAGUGACCCAUCAGUCUCCAACAAGGGUUUUGAACUGGAUGCUCAUCAGAUUACCCAGGUCAGCCGUCAGCAGGGGUUGUUUUCCUGGGUUAUGAGCUGAUUGCUAGGGAGGUGUACACUAGAGGACAUGUUCACCACUGAUAAUUCAAUGGAGUGUGUAGACUGAUAUAGUACCUACUACCUACUCAAAGGAGGAAAGGUCUAAGUCCCAGAUUUAUAUGGGUAAAGUUUUCGCAGUUAAUAAGUUGUUUCAGAGAGUGCUUAGCCUGAUGCUUUGAAGAUCAAGUUUCAGCGUGGCUUACAAUGUUAGAUCAGUUUGAGUUUUUGUACCAAGUUGAAAGCCUAAUGCUCCAAAUGGUACAUUCUAAUUUUAUAACUAUCCCUUAUUUUCUUAAUCUGUAAAUGACAAACCACCCGUAUGCUCUCCAAAUUCAGGGUAAAACUGAACCUAAAUUCAGAUAUAUUUUGAUGUAAUCAUAUAUUAGUUGCAACUAGAUUAUAUGAGCAUAUCAGACUAUAUGGUCUCAUAGACCUUUAGAAGUUGUUGAUAUUCUCUAUUUUUGGCCACAUCAUUUCUGUAAAAAUAGUAGAGUCGCUAACACAUCUGCACAACCUAUAGCUUAUUACAUAUAUACGCUUGGUCUUCUGUUCUGUGCAGCGAAACCAUGGUUUUUUCUUCUUCUAAGAAAAUGAUGUAUAUUAGUGUUCUAUCCACAAGAUCUAUGUAAAUUAGAAAUUUAGAAGUAAUGCCUUCCAUGUAAAUACAAGCAUUAUGUUAUUUCGUGGUAUGAUGAAAAAGUUCACCUAGGUCCACUUGCUUUUAUUUGUUGUUUUUAUUCCGAUAAUGUCUGAUUUAUAGUUUCAGUUUCAUCAGCACAAAUAGACUCAACGGUGUAAUGAUUCAGUUUCACAUAUAUUUUGCCAGUAUGCUAUUUAUAAUUUUUUCCAUGAUCCAAGAUGUCAGAUUUAUGAGCUUAUGCUAUUUGAUGCAAUUUCAAAAAGUAUCGGUAAGGUAAAAAUGAUCUACAAGCUUAUUGCAUUCAAAAGUAGUUAUCCAAGAGUUUUCUGUAUGCAACUUUAGGUAUAUGGGGUUCAGGAAUAUCAUUUGUACUGAAUUUUACUGUCUAGAAUUUAGCUUGUACUGUCAUUUCUGAAAGACAGUAACACAAAAAGGUCUGAUCCGACUCCAUAAUUUUACUGUAUGAGACAGCCUGUAUAAUUUUCGGUUUGUAGAGCUCUGUGGUGUCCUGUUUUUCUGUUGUUUUAUUUUUUUCUAUUGCUGAUCAUGUGCAUGUUGUCCUAAAUUGUAUAGUACAAUUACAAGUCCAAACCUGGACAUUUUCAGAAACCGGACAUUUUUAGAACCUGAACAUUUGCAGUUAGUGGCUCAAGACUGCUCCACUAAAGGAGUAGACAUUUAACUUAAUCAAAUUCACCAUCUAAACAAAUACUCCUAUAAUUCCAUCUGAGUAGACAUUUAACAUUAGGUAGUCCCAUUUUAAUUUAAAUGUAUUCUAUUUUUGUUGCAAUAGCCCAUUAGAGUGAAUUUUCAUUCACGAGCGGAUCUUUUUUUUGAUGUGUUUGAUUCGAGGCGCCUCCUCCCUAUGGCCUCGGCGCCUCCUCCCGGGCUCUCUCGGAGGUGAAUGUAGCGACAACGUGUGCGUGGUGGUCGAGCAUGGUAGCGCUGAUGGGUGCCGUCUCCGUCGACUGGAGAAGCGCAGGUCGUGGCUCACGCCGCUGCUCUAUUGGGGGCAUCAGCCUUCGUACUCGCGUUGCGCGUGCGCUCAGUGAACCAACAGAGUCAUGGAUGCAGUGAGCGUUGGGUGCUGUGUCCGUCGGCUGAGCGGCAAGCCAGAGCUGCAAGUCGUUGAACAUGGGGUGCUACUGUGAUGAUCUCAUGUCUCACGCUCUGUGUGCGUAUCUCUCUGUCCUGUGCCUUUUUGCUAUUCAUUCAUGCCUCUUAGAAUCACUAAGUUUUUUCUUGGUUUUGUAGUUGUGGGUUGCUGUUAAGAUGGUUACCCUUUUGAGAAAAGAAUGAUUACCCUGAUUAGUUAGGAUUUAAAUGCUACAAGUGGUUUGCUGUUAAGAAUCAUUGGAUGGACUCUUUAAGUUUCACUCAUAAGUGUUUACCAUUUAUGAAUUUGAAUUCUCUUUUCGGACAAUAUAUAAACUUUUGUGCUAUGCAGUCGAUUAGGAUCAA